Corapipo altera (White-ruffed manakin) is the source of this 781-nucleotide long non-coding RNA. RefSeq lists it as uncharacterized. The record is from RefSeq and is a predicted model, not a curated record. The transcript has 2 exons. NCBI's taxonomy places the organism in Eukaryota, Metazoa, Chordata, Aves, Passeriformes, Pipridae.
AGGGACGCGGCUUCCUCCUCCCCCACCCUCGCGGGACGGUGGCGUGGGAGCGCCCGCCUCGUGGUGCCCGCGGGCCCGGCACGUGCGCGGCCUAGGGACACGAGCAAAGGGAUCGGGAUCAAGGACCCGGCCACGCGGGGCUGGGAAACAGGGGAGCGGGAAAGGACGUCGUUUUCUUCCAAGUGGUGAAAAAGAACUUAGCAGCAGGAGGCCGGGAUUUGGAGGCACAGCCGUUAGAAAGCCGAAGUGCGUAAGGUGCGUUUGUUCAGCAAACAGGAGCAGUGGCGUGUGCCAGAAUUCCAGCCAGCACAGCGAGCCCGCCGUGACAGAGGGGACGGGAGUCACCUGGAGCUGCCGGGGUGCGCCGGCGUUUGGAAAUGGCAGAAAAAGACGACCCUAAUUUUAGAUUCAUUUAACAUUAGCGCUUCAGGGGGGCAAGGAGAAGGUCUGAUUGUCCAUUAGGAGACCAUGUUUGAAAAUUAAUCCUUUUACGUCAAGAAUUCCGUCCAUUCAGCCUCUUCCAUGUCUUUAGUACAAGGUGUCAAUCGAACUUCGGGCACAAAUGCCACACUGAUUUAAAGAUUGCUGAGAUUACAAAGGCCACACCACUCUUAUUGCUUUAGCUCUGCACCUCUGCUGUCUCCCAAAUUAUGGAAAAAGAUAAUAUUUCAGUAAUCUCGUAAAUAUGAGUUUGAGUUUCUCUCCCACAUACUCUGUCCACUGCUAAUACUAAUUCAAUGAAUAAUGUCGCAGAUGAGUAAAAUCAUGUUUUAAGAGACUG